Molecule: ribosomal RNA, 462 nt
Filed under: Triticum aestivum (bread wheat)
Lineage: Eukaryota; Viridiplantae; Streptophyta; Magnoliopsida; Poales; Poaceae
Description: partial small subunit ribosomal RNA
Source: RNAcentral
AUGGGAAGCAAGAACGGGAAAGAAGUAUCCCAAGGAUAUCUUGCUCCUUUUAAGGGGAGUACGUACCAUCUACCAGAAUUUCGUCUUCGUCCUCACCGUCCACCUCAAGGGAAAUACGAGUUGUUCAACUUUUCACAUUCGUCCCUUCGCAAUGUUGUUGAGCGUGCUUUUGGGGUGCUUAAGCAGAAAUGGCGCAUAUUGAAAGGGGUCCCAAGUUUCUCACCUCGGACGCAAAAGCAUAUCAUCAUUGCUUGCAUGGCAUUGCACAACUUCAUUCGUGAUAGCAAGUUGAGUGACAAAUUUUUUGAUAAAUGUGAUGCCAAUGAUGAGUAUGUACCUCCAGUGCUACGACGCGAAGUAGCACAAACACAAGCGGAUCCUGUUGAAGAGGAGGAGAACGAAGAUACCAUUGAUACUAUUCGUAGUAGGAUAGCCGAUGCUUGUCUUGCGAUAGCAACAUAG